Molecule: ribosomal RNA, 422 nt
Filed under: uncultured bacterium
Lineage: Bacteria
Description: bacterial SSU rRNA
Rfam family: Bacterial small subunit ribosomal RNA
Source: RNAcentral
UAAGGAAUAUUGGACAAUGGAGGCAACUCUGAUCCAGCCAUGCCGCGUGAAGGAAUAAGGCCCUAUGGGUUGUAAACUUCUUUUAGACGGGACAAAACCCCUUUACGUGUAAAGGGUUGAUGGUACUGUCAGAAUAAGCAUCGGCUAACUUCGUGCCAGCAGCCGCGGUAAUACGAAGGAUGCAAGCGUUAUCCGGAAUUAUUGGGUUUAAAGGGUGCGUAGGCGGACUAAUAAGUCAGUGGUGAAAGCCUGCAGCUUAACUGCAGGAUGGCCAUUGAUACUGUUAGUCUUGAGUACAGUUGAGGUAGGCGGAAUGUGUCAUGUAGCGGUGAAAUGCUUAGAUAUGACACAGAACACCGAUUGCGAAGGCAGCUUGCUAGGCUGUAACUGACGCUGAGGCACGAAAGCGUGGGGAGCAAACA